RNAcentral lists this long non-coding RNA (450 nucleotides) under Mus musculus (house mouse). RNAcentral describes it as "long non-coding RNA chr7:128692688-128693138". The record is from RNAcentral. Lineage: Eukaryota; Metazoa; Chordata; Mammalia; Rodentia; Muridae.
AUGGUGGUGGCAGCGGCAGCUCGCCGUUUGCCCUUAUACAGCAGGCUUGGCUUACUGCAAACCACUCAGGGGUAGAUUUAUCCAGGAAGUGACUCCUUCCCAAAGGCUGAAGAAACAGAUAUAACAGGGGUUGAAGAAAGUCAUUCCAGACACAGCAACCUGGGAGAAAGUGGCUGCUCUCCAGGCUCCUGCAUCCAGUUACCAGGGAUUGCUUAAUAGCUGCGCCUUAUGCGCUUCAAGAUGCCCUUACUUACCUCAUCCCAACCUCUGCUCUGGAGUCUCGUUUGUUUUUAUUGACAAAGAAGUCUGGAGAGACCGCAGCAAAGUUUAUUAUUAAUUCACAUCCCAAAUAUUUCCAAAAGGGUAUAGCUGAGCCUCCUAUACUGUGCUUGCUGCCUGAGCACUUUGAACCUUAGACUGAAGAUGUAAGUGACGCUGCCUGAAGGAACC